CUCACAUUUGUGUACAAUCAUGCAUGAAAUCUUUAAUGCUAAGCAAAUUAUAAAAAAAUUACUGCAUGUGUAUUAGCCAAUAAGUACACCCAAAAUCAAUGUUUUCCCGGCAAAAUUGAAGACACUUCAAUAAGGAGGAUUUAGAGGUCCUCCAUGAAGAGCAAAAUCAUUUAUUCUAUGCUUCUAACUUUCUGCUUCUUUCUUUUGGAAGUUGGUGAACUGUAUAAAAAAAUAAAUAAAAAUAUUACAAAAAGUGCAUGUGGAAAGAUGCAUAAAGUGAGGAAAUUAGUAUACAGCAUACCAAAGAGCCAUAAUUUAAGGAGAUGGUAAUAGUUAAGGUCGCGCGAAUUCUUAAAAUUUAGAUUGAGUCUAACUCAACCCUACAAAAUUGAUUUAUACGGUGAGAGAUACCUCCCACUUACAAACCCAUUUUCAUCUCAUAAUAACUCAUUCAAUGUAGGACUCUUUCAUGCCCAAGAUUGUACAUCUAGAGCGUGACCCGAUAGCAGGUGACACAAUGAAUGUUGGGUAGACUGAUACUAUCUUAGAAUUUGGGUUCGACCUAACUCAACUUGAGGUAUACCACCCACUUAUAAACAGCUUGUAAAGAAAUGUAUCAUCCACCGAGGUACAGCCAACAAACCCCUCGCUUAGGACUGAACUUUUGGAGUGCGACCCAGUAAUAGGUGGCCCAACAGAUCUUGGAAGCUCUAAUCGGGUCACUCAAGUCACACUCCACGUGUUCAAUCUUGAACAUGAGAGAGUAGGUAUUGAUAGUAUCACGUUGGAAUAUAUGGCCUGAAAAAAAUGUUUAUAAGUUGGGAUUU
Molecule: long non-coding RNA, 827 nt
Filed under: Trifolium pratense (red clover)
Lineage: Eukaryota; Viridiplantae; Streptophyta; Magnoliopsida; Fabales; Fabaceae
Description: long non-coding RNA (TPRA_LNC008749)
Source: RNAcentral